This 253-nucleotide ribosomal RNA is filed under the name uncultured bacterium. Its description in RNAcentral is "partial 16S ribosomal RNA". It matches the Rfam family "Bacterial small subunit ribosomal RNA", at positions 524 to 776 of the family's 1533-position model. The record is from RNAcentral.
UACGGAGGGUGCAAGCGUUAUCCGGAUUCACUGGGUUUAAAGGGUGCGUAGGUGGUCAGAUAAGUCAGUGGUGAAAUCUCUGGGCUUAACCCGGAAACUGCCAUUGAUACUAUUUGUCUUGAAUUCUCUGGAGGUAAGCGGAAUAUGUCAUGUAGCGGUGAAAUGCUUAGAUAUGACAUAGAACACCCAUUGCGAAGGCAGCUUACUACGGAGACAUUGACACUGAGGCACGAAAGCGUGGGGAUCAAACAGG